CCUACGGGCGGCUGCAGUGGGGAAUAUUGCACAAUGGGGGAAACCCUGAUGCAGCGACGCCGCGUGAGUGAAGAAGUAAUUCGUUAUGUAAAGCUCUAUCAGCAGGGAAGAAAAUGACGGUACCUGAGUAAGAAGCCCCGGCUAAAUACGUGCCAGCAGCCGCGGUAAUAUGUAGGGGGCAAGCGUUAUCCGGAUUUACUGGGUGUAAAGGGAGCGUAGACGGCAGUGCAGGUCUGGAGUGAAAGGCGGGGGGUCAACCCCCGGACUGCUCUUGAAACUGUACGGCUGGAGUGCAGGAGAGGUAAGUGGAAUUCCUAGUGUAGCGGUGAAAUGCGUAGAUAUUAGGAGGAACACCAGUGGCGAAGGCGGCUUACUGGACUGUAACUGACGUUGAGGCUCGAAAGCGUGGGGAGCAAACAGGAUUAGAUACCCUUGUAGUC
This 440-nucleotide ribosomal RNA is filed under the name uncultured bacterium. RNAcentral describes it as "partial 16S ribosomal RNA". It matches the Rfam family "Bacterial small subunit ribosomal RNA", at positions 338 to 795 of the family's 1533-position model. The record is from RNAcentral.